This 345-nucleotide ribosomal RNA is filed under the name Salmonella enterica subsp. enterica serovar Umbilo. RNAcentral describes it as "partial 23S ribosomal RNA". It matches the Rfam family "Bacterial large subunit ribosomal RNA", at positions 1243 to 1589 of the family's 2925-position model. The record is from RNAcentral. Lineage: Bacteria; Pseudomonadati; Pseudomonadota; Gammaproteobacteria; Enterobacterales; Enterobacteriaceae.
UAAGCCUGUGAAGGUGGCCUGUGAGGGUUGCUGGAGGUAUCAGAAGUGCGAAUGCUGACAUAAGUAACGAUAAAGCGGGUGAAAAGCCCGCUCGCCGGAAGACCAAGGGUUCCUGUCCAACGUUAAUCGGGGCAGGGUGAGUCGACCCCUAAGGCGAGGCCGAAAGGCGUAGUCGAUGGGAAACGGGUUAAUAUUCCCGUACUUGGUGUUACUGCGAAGGGGGGACGGAGAAGGCUAUGUUGGCCGGGCGACGGUUGUCCCGGUUUAAGCGUGUAGGUGUGUGUUCCAGGUAAAUCCGGUUCACUUUAACACUGAGGCGUGAUGACGAGGUACUACGGUGCUGAA